UCUUACGUUUGCUCUGAAAUU
Molecule: non-coding RNA, 21 nt
Filed under: Caenorhabditis elegans
Lineage: Eukaryota; Metazoa; Nematoda; Chromadorea; Rhabditida; Rhabditidae
Source: RNAcentral